UGAACGCUAGCGGGAGGCCUAACACAUGCAAGCCGAGCGGUAGAGUUUCUUCGGAAACUUGAGAGCGGCGCACGGGUGCGUAACACGUGUGCAACCUACCUUUAUCUGGGGGAUAGCCUUUCGAAAGGAAGAUUAAUACCCCAUAAUAUAAUGAUUGGCAUCAAUUAUUAUUGAAAACUCCGGUGGAUAGAGAUGGGCACGCGCAAGAUUAGAUAGUUGGUGAGGUAACGGCUCACCAAGUCAAUGAUCUUUAGGGGUCCUGAGAGGGAGAUCCCCCACACUGGUACUGAGACACGGACCAGACUCCUACGGGAGGCAGCAGUGAGGAAUAUUGGACAAUGGGUGAGAGCCUGAUCCAGCCAUCCCGCGUGAAGGAUGACGGUCCUAUGGAUUGUAAACUUCUUUUGUACAGGGAUAAACCUACUCUCGUGAGGGUAGCUGAAAGUACUGUACGAAUAAGCACCGGCUAACUCCGUG
RNAcentral lists this ribosomal RNA (477 nucleotides) under uncultured bacterium. RNAcentral describes it as "partial 16S ribosomal RNA". It matches the Rfam family "Bacterial small subunit ribosomal RNA", at positions 30 to 507 of the family's 1533-position model. The record is from RNAcentral.